AUUGAACGCUGGCGGAAUGCUUUACACAUGCAAGUCGAACGGCAGCACGGGGCAACCUGGUGGCGAGUGGCGAACGGGUGAGUAAUGUAUCGGAACGUACCAUUCAGUGGGGGAUAACGUAGCGAAAGUUACGCUAAUACCGCAUACGAUCUACGGAUGAAAGCGGGGGAUCGCAAGACCUCGCGCGAAUGGAGCGGCCGAUGUCAGAUUAGGUAGUUGGUGGGGUAAAGGCUCACCAAGCCGACGAUCUGUAGCUGGUCUGAGAGGACGACCAGCCACACUGGGACUGAGACACGGCCCAGACUCCUACGGGAGGCAGCAGUGGGGAAUUUUGGACAAUGGGCGCAAGCCUGAUCCAGCCAUUCCGCGUGCAGGAUGAAGGCCUUCGGGUUGUAAACUGCUUUGUACGGAACGAAAGGACUCUGGUUAAUACCUGGAGUUUAUGACGGUACCGUAAGAAUAAGCACCGGCUAACUACGUGCCAGCAGCCGCGGUAAAGCUAACG
This 505-nucleotide ribosomal RNA is filed under the name uncultured bacterium. Its description in RNAcentral is "bacterial SSU rRNA". It matches the Rfam family "Bacterial small subunit ribosomal RNA", at positions 30 to 531 of the family's 1533-position model. The record is from RNAcentral.